Molecule: ribosomal RNA, 253 nt
Filed under: uncultured bacterium
Lineage: Bacteria
Description: partial 16S ribosomal RNA
Rfam family: Bacterial small subunit ribosomal RNA
Source: RNAcentral
UACGGAGGGUGCGAGCGUUAUCCGGAAUCCCUGGGUUUAAAGGGUGCGUAGGCGGCUCGGUAAGCCAGUUGUGAAAGCCCCUUGCUUAACGAGGGAGGUGCGAUUGAUACUGUCGAGCUUGAAUCGGGAUGAGGCAGGCGGAAUGUGGCAUGUAGCGGUGAAAUGCAUAGAGAUGCCAGAGAACACCGAUUGCGAAGGCAGCCUGCUGGGCCUGUAUUGACGCUGAGGCACGAAAGAGUGGGGAGCAAGCAGG